This is a long non-coding RNA of Vespa velutina, 4007 nucleotides long. RefSeq lists it as uncharacterized. The transcript has 3 exons. The record is from RefSeq and is a predicted model, not a curated record. NCBI's taxonomy places the organism in Eukaryota, Metazoa, Arthropoda, Insecta, Hymenoptera, Vespidae.
GAGCCGUGGACGUAGACACACCUUGCGCAUUCUUUCUAUUCGGUGACAUCGGGGGACACCCUGCGGACUCUCGUACAAACGACGUUCCUUGUACAAACGACCGAUUCGAGAAAUUAUUUCAUUAUUUAUAUUUGGGAACGAUCGAUCCCAUCGACAGACACUAUAUAACCAUAACCACUAUAUAACGUUAAUAACGAAACUCAAUGCCAAAUCGGAAGAGGCUUUUAUCCGAGCUGAAUCUAUUGGAAGGAAAGAUAUUAUUCCAUCUUUCUUCUUCUCGGGCACGAUCGAGCGGAAAAGUAGAAAAUGUCGAGGCUUGCCAAUCUUUCAUCUUGAAUUCCUUCAUCUCCUUGGAAUUUCUAACGAGGCUAGAUCGAGGACAAACAACUAGUGCCAACGUAACUACCAUGCCAAGCAUUCAAAUCGGUGCUCGUCAUCGUAAUUGAGAAUUUCGAUAGGUCGAAGGAAUCGGAAUCUUGCCUUCGGAUCAUAUUGAAAUUCUUUCCUUUCUGACGCAGGAGAGAUCGAAGGGAAGAGGGGAGUUUGUCAAAGGAAAAAAUGCGAGUGAAUUUGAAAAGGAUUAAUUUUGAAAGAAGAACGACGCGCACUUGGUGGUAAAGAUUCGAGGAACAUGGAAAACGCGUCGAAGCGUGUUUCGACGACGGCGACGGCGACGGCCAAGGUCUAACCGGUCUUCUCGACGACCCUCCAACGAGAAGAGAACGAACGAACGAACGAACGAACGAACGAGUCAGCUAGCGAGCGAGCGAGCGAGCGAACGAACGAACGAACGAACGAACGACAAGCAAGGAAGAAAGGGAGGGAUCUGGUUUUCCUUCUCAAUAUAGAUCGUAGCAGAGGGACUUUGCGUGGCUCGAUUAUUACGCGCCCACGCCCGCGCGUCCCUUACCACAGCACCAUCCAGCAGCAACCCCUUACAAUCGCCAACUGUCUACUCUCACAAAAGAGCCGUCUUUGGACGCUCGCGCGAGUAACAAAGAAUCGGAAUACAUAAGCCGGGAUAACGACGUGAAUUUGGAGACAAACGAUCCGAUUCCGAUGUUUUAUUACAUAGGGAAAAGCAAAAACUGUAACCAACCUUUUUGUCUUUUUCUUUUUUCUUUUUUUUUUUCUUAUAUAAACGCUCGAUACGUUUUGACAGUUGGCUAAUAAGAAGAAUAUCAUUUGAAUCGAAUAUCUAUGGCUCGACAAUGUGGCUCCAUGAUACAAGAAACGAUGUUGGGAAGGAAAAGCGUCGUUGAAUAGGUUAUACAUUCUAGUCGUAAAAAAAAGGGGGGAAAUAGUUUCGACUCCGAUCACCAGCUGCACGUUGUUGAGUUUUUAAAGGACGUUCAUGUUUUGUAUUACCAUCGUCAAGCGCAGCUGUUAUUUCUAGUGGCAGUCUUGGUAUUAUCGUUGCUACGAUCGAAAGCGAUACAGCGGUUAGAACGCGAUUGCGUUGAUAUUCGAAAGAAAUGGCGGGCCGACGCGAUGCAUAAACGCAUAUUAAUUCUCAUCUUGGAUUCCACGUAGGCAUCUAAGUUGUUUUGUCGUAAGAGUAGUAACGUGAGAGUAGAACGCGCGAAAUACAAAAAGAAGGAAUACCUGUGAGCUUCCGGCGAGUUCGGCAAGCUUCGUGCCUUUCUGCUGUUGCCGCUGCUUCCACUGUUACCCAUAUCGAGAGGACGCCUGCCGAACUUUAUCGCCGAACGCUACGACUCCUCGUCGACAAAGGGAAAGAUCGAGAGUGGAUCGAUCGGUCGAUCGAGUCGCGAGAGGAAAUGCGGUUAAGCACAUUAGACGACGGGGCGUAAGGAGAGAGACCGACCGACCGACCGACCGACCGACCGACCGACCGAAAGAACGACCGAACGACCGAACGAACGAAUACAACGACGCUAGAGAAGAGCUAGUCACGGAGGCGGCACACUAUCUUCCGAUCACUUCACACUCGAGGCUGUUCGAUCGGACGAUAACAAAAAACGCGAGAGGGCGAAGAGCAGAGCGAGGACCGGCCAGAGGGUUGAUCCUGCCGCUAGUUCUCCAGGAUUCACAGCCCCCACGUCUGCCCCGAGCGCUCGGAGCGCUCCCACGCACAGGUUCACGUUCUCGACCUGCGCAACACAACGAGCAAACCUUUAUGAUCGAUCAUGAAAGAAGAUGGGAAAAGAUGAAAAUGCGACCGCGUGAAUCACCGAGCUUUGCCACCUGCCUAUCUAUCUAAUCGGAAACAUUUUUAUAUACUUAAGGCAGUCUAUUUUUUGCCUACGAAUAAGAAUAUUUACUUUAGAUCACAUUAAUAUUUCCAUCGAGUAACCAUCGCUAACCUGUCAAGUCUUAAUCACGCUUAUUUCGCAUUUACGAAUGGGGACGUAUGUCCGUUCACCCUGCCAUAAUCAUCGAUCGAGUCACAUAUAUUCCCUGUAAUCCAUAUUAAUCGAGUGAAAUAAUUACUCUCGAACAUUACUCGCGAAACGGAGUCGACGAGUUAGAGACGACGAGGCGCUUACCAAAUGCUACCAUAUUCAAAUUAUUCUCCUUCUCGUCUCUGAACGGCUGAACCCAAUCCGUUGACGAAUCGAGAAGCCGUUAUCUACCCUAUCGAAUCGUUUGCUAGACGAAUGAAAGAAACAAAUGUCAGGUUUUUUUCUUUCAUCCAAACGAUGCCAGUACGGUCCCUUGCAAAUACGAUAUAUAUAUUUGCACGUUAAAGAUCGUAUCGUUAUCGACGUGUCAACAAUGGCUACGGACGGUGGGUACACAUAAUAUAGGGACGGGCAACAGGUACGUACAUAUGUACGUGCGUGCAUCAUACAUACAUACACACAUAUGUGUAUAUAAAACAUAGGCUCGAACCUAUGCAUUUGCUCGGUCGCUCACCCACAACGUCGGCUAAUUACGACGACUCUCGAGUACGAGAAGAGCCAGUACAACGGAGUAAGAAAUAUAACACGAGAUUUGUUUCAAACGAUCGCUAUCCGAACAUCUCGCUGUACAUUCAUAGCUGGUACAGGAGCGUUACACUCGAAACUCGUACUCGGUGGUGGUCUCUUAACACAAAGGGACACUCUCUCGUGUAGAGAAGCUUCCACGAAACGUGACCACUGUGGUCAUGGGCAGUAUCGUGGUACUACCACCUUGUACUACGUUGCACGCGCGCGCUUAGUAGUACGCGGAGAAAGAGCUAGAUAGAUAGAGGUAGAUGGUGAGAGAGAGAGAGAGAGAGAGAGAGAGAGAGAGAGAGAGAGAGAGAGAGAGAGAGAGAAAGAGUGCUCUUUUGUCUUCGGUGUCGGCUUUUACCCAGAAAACGAAGCGUGCUCGCAUGGGCCACGAUGAUGACGACGCGACACAACAACGAAUAAGAGGAGGAGGAGGAGAAACGUCGACGUACCGAUACCACCGACCCUCUUUCUCUUCUCUCUCCGUUGUUGGUAAGGAAAGUGUAGACGCACGCGAAGAGUAAAGGGAGGGAGCGAGAUGACUCACCCGAUGAUAUCCUCCCGGGUGCUCUGCGCUCGCGCGCAACAGCUAGGUGAGCCAGGACUGUGCGCCCGUUGGCUCGUAUAACGCGCAGCAACUAUAUACGCGUCUCUCUUGGCCGCGCGCGCGUCGCUCUGUAAACAUAUACAUACGUACUUGCUGGCCGCGUUAAGUGUUACAGAACAUUUUCACACACGUACGUAUCUACGUGUUAGAGUAAAUAAGACUAUCGAUUUAUAUAUUAUGCAAUAUUUUCAUAUGCGAUACAGACCGAUCGUUGAAAAAUAAAGGAAAGGAAAAAAAAAAAAAUUAAGUACCCUUCGAUAUUCUCCUGUUUAUAUCUCGUCUUUCGAGUUUUGUUUCUUCUUUACAUCUCCGUAAGGAGUACUUCUCGUAUCGUCUUACGGCUCUCUCACAUCCACGCGAGAUGACAGCCGUAAAUGGCUAUGGCGCGAUCUCUUUUUAAUGCGUUCCUUCUGUCUUUCAAAUACAUUGGCUCGCUACGACGACGUCGAACGACGACGUAU